Molecule: long non-coding RNA, 251 nt
Filed under: Elaeis guineensis (African oil palm)
Lineage: Eukaryota; Viridiplantae; Streptophyta; Magnoliopsida; Arecales; Arecaceae
Description: long non-coding RNA (EGUI_LNC035012)
Source: RNAcentral
CUAGCUUCUACUUUCAAGUGAAGGUCUACUUGGAAGAAGAAGAAGUCUAUGAAGAAACAUAAAUCUGAAAGCAAGUCAAAAAGGAAGCUCUGAAGAUGGCUACUGACUUCUGUAAUGUUGACAACCAUUAAAAGGAUCUUCGUGUAUACCUAGUGAACCUAAAUACAAGAAAAGAGAUAUGUCUUCACAAGGUAUGUUGGGUCUGCUUAAUAUUGGCAUUUGAGCAUAUAGUGAAUGCCAUUGGAUCUGGG